RNAcentral lists this long non-coding RNA (235 nucleotides) under Elaeis guineensis (African oil palm). RNAcentral describes it as "long non-coding RNA (EGUI_LNC016281)". Lineage: Eukaryota; Viridiplantae; Streptophyta; Magnoliopsida; Arecales; Arecaceae. The record is from RNAcentral.
CCUAAGAUUUCUAAAAUUUUGAGAAGAAUGACGAUGAAUUUAAAUGAUCCUCGUGAUGAAUUUUUGAUCUGUGAUCGUCGGACGGUACACCGACAUCCACUUUGAUCAGAUCAAGUAUUUUUAGAUUUUAUUUCUCAUGAUCUUAUUGAAUUGUCCACAUGAUAAUCUUAGCAUGAUUUGAUCUGAUCAAUCGAAUUUGUUGAAUCAUAUCGUUUGAGGAGUUCAAGAUGAGUUU